Molecule: ribosomal RNA, 479 nt
Filed under: uncultured Saprospiraceae bacterium
Lineage: Bacteria; Pseudomonadati; Bacteroidota; Saprospiria; Saprospirales; Saprospiraceae
Description: bacterial SSU rRNA
Rfam family: Bacterial small subunit ribosomal RNA
Source: RNAcentral
GAUGAACGCUAGCGGGAGGCUUAAUACAUGCAAGUCGAACGGUAAGGUCAGAGCUUGCUCUGAUACACGAGUGGCGCACGGGUGAGUAACGCGUACACUACCUACCUUAGAGUGAGGGAUAGCCCUGGGAAACUGGGAUUAAUACCUCAUGGUUUACUGGUUUUAGAUUAGUAAUAAAGGCUUCGGUCGCUCUAAGAUGGGUGUGCGUCUCAUUAGCUAGUUGGUAAGGUAACGGCUUACCAAGGCGACGAUGGGUAGGGGGCGUGAGAGCGUGGACCCCCACACGGGUACUGAGACACGGACCCGACUCCUACGGGAGGCAGCAGUAAGGAAUAUUGGACAAUGGGGGCAACCCUGAUCCAGCCAUCCCGCGUGCAGGAAGACGGCCCUAUGGGUUGUAAACUGCUUUUAUAUGGGAAGAAAGGUAGAGAUUUAUCUUUAUUUGACGGUACCAUAGGAAUAAGCACCGGCUAACUCCG